GUGCGGGCCCUGUGCAACAAAGCACCGUGAACCAUGUCAGGCGGGGAACCGAGCAGCAUUAAGCGGAACGUUUCGUGUGCCGCAGCAAGCCUGCACACC
Molecule: signal recognition particle RNA, 99 nt
Filed under: Ruminococcus sp.
Lineage: Bacteria; Bacillati; Bacillota; Clostridia; Eubacteriales; Oscillospiraceae
Also listed under: 2 other names
Description: signal recognition particle sRNA small type
Rfam family: Bacterial small signal recognition particle RNA
About the family: The signal recognition particle (SRP) is a universally conserved ribonucleoprotein involved in the co-translational targeting of proteins to membranes. Archaeal SRP consists of a 7S RNA and homologues of the eukaryotic SRP19 and SRP54 proteins.
Source: RNAcentral